GGAAUGAACACACUUCUCGUUCAGUCCGACUUCCUUGAUAAAUAGGCUAGCCAAGCCCGAGCCGCUCCUACGGAGUCCCACCUCGCCGCCGCCAAACCCUCGCCCCUCUUCCACCGGAGCCUACCGAGCUCUCCCACUCCAGAAAUUCUCCGAGCGGGAGCUCGCCCCCUCCAACGUCGCGUCCUCCUCCAGCUCCACAGGGCCUGGUGUUCGCGAGAUUCCCGUUGGUUCCCGCGACCCCGCGCGCAGUAAUCCCUAGGCGGGCUCGUCCGCCAUGUUUCCGCCCAAAGGGCCCAAUCCCUACGGGCAGCAACCACCGUACGGCGGGCAGCAAUCUUACGGCGGCCAAAUCCCUGGUAGCAGUGGAUUUGGGGCCUCAGCUGCGGCAGGUGCCCGUGCCGGACAGGGUGCUGCUGGGCAGUAUGGAGGGCCUUACGCGUCGGUGUAUGGCACACAGCAGGUUGGGGGAGUUGGUGGCAAAGGUCCGGAUUCUUCUAGUCUUCCUAGCCUGCCACCUCAUACAUCUUCACUAUCUCAGUCAUCCAAGUUCUCGUCUGGAUCUGCAGGGUCUAACUUGGCAAGACCAAACGAUGACUAUAUGGCUGUGCGUGGAUAUGCACAGAAGCUAGACCAGUAUGGUACUGAUUACACAUCAGAGAGAAGAAUGUAUGGUGAACACUCAGCUAAUCUUGGCAGGAGGGAUGGCCUUACUGAUUUGGAUAGAAGAUACCCUGAUCAUAUACCUGCAGCCCAUCAGAUUCAUGACCGUGUGGAGCAGGGUUCAACAAUGCGCCAUCAGCCACUUCUGAAAGCUCAGUUGGCGCCUGUGUCUGAUAUGAGGCAUCGUUCACCUAUUAAAGAAAUAAAGAGAGAUUAUUUGUGCAAGGUUUUGCCAUUUCGGUUGGUGGAUGAUGAGAGAGACUGUUUAUCUUUGACAAAAAGAUAUCCUAGGUUAUCAGUUAUUCCAGAUUUUUCUAAGAUUGUCUUGAACUGGGCUAAAGAAAGCCUAAAUCUUUCACUGCAUACACCAGUGAGUCUGGAGCAUGCCAUCUGUGAAGAUGACGAUAAAGCUGAUGAAAGCGCACUGGUCUCUUCUGAGAACACAUCAAGCAUAAAGACCCCUGAAACCAUUUGGAAUGCAAAGGUACUUCUGAUGAGCGGUAUGAGCAAUGGUGCCUUUGCUGACAUAACAUCGAUGAGAAGUACUGAGGAACGAGUGGUGCACUUGAACAAUAUCUUAAAAUUUGCUGUAUUCAAGAAGGAUCGUUCACUUCUUGCUAUUGGAGGCCCUUGGAAUGCAGCACUUGAUGGUGGAGAUCCAUUGGCUGACUGUUCUUGCUUGAUUCGAACUGCUAUCAGAUAUGUGAAGGAGCUGGUUCAAGUCGAUCUAUCUAAUUGUACCAGUUGGAAUCGUUUCCUCGAGGUCCAUUACAACAGAGUUGGCAAUGAUGGACUCUUUAGUCACAAAGAAAUUACUGUACUGUUUGUGCCAAACCUGUCGGAAUGCGUACCAUCUAUGGAUAUAUGGAGGAACAACUGGAUUGCAUACCGAAAAUCAAAGAUAGAAAGGGAGCAACUGAUUAUGAAGGAAAAGAGCCCAGGUGAUCCAAAGGAACAGAAACAAGUUUUAGAGGAGCCAAACGAGGCUAAAAGUACGAAUGAUCAAUUAAAGGAGGGUGAUGGUGCUGCCAAGAUUGAGAAAAUUGAUGCUGAUAUGGAACUGAAGGAGGGUGAUGGUGCUGCCAAGAUUGAGAAAAUUGAUGCUGAAAUGGAACUGAAGGAGGGUGAUGGUGCUACCAAGAUUGAGAAAAUUGAUGCUGAUAUGGAAGAACAGGGCAAAGAUGGAGAUGUCAAUCUUGCUGGUGAUGGUGGGAAGAAUCAUGACAAUGUUGGGGAGCAAGUUGAGAAGAUCGUGGGGGUUGUUGAAGAGAACACUUCUGGUGAUGCUUCUGUUGACCAUGUCACCGAGGAUAAAAAGCCCAUGAGAAAGAAAAUAAUAAAAAAGGUUGUGAAAGUUGUUCGAAAAAAGCCAACUGCUGAAGCUCCAGUGGAUAAAUCGCCUCAGGUUGACAAGAAUGCCGUGGCAGAAACUGCGAGCAAAACCGUCCAAAAGCACAUUGAACAGAAAAGUGAGGAUCUUGGGAAAGAGAAGGCGGGAGCUGGCAUCGUUCAACAGCCUGAGGCUAAGAAAACUGGGAAGAAGAAGGUCAUUCGAAGGAUUGUUAAAAGAAAAGUUCCUGCUUCAGCGACUGAGCCAACAGCCCUUGCUGCACCUGCUGAAGCAAGUAAACAAGAUGUGGAUGUUCAGCCGGAGAAGAUUGCUGAAGGCGUCACUGAUGCUGGGAAUUCACAGACUAAGCUGGAAGAAGGAUUGAAAAUUCCCGCUGAAGAUAUUUCAAACCAGAAGAAAGAAGAAGGAUUGAAAACUCCUGCUGAAGAUACCUCAAAUCAGAAGAAAGAACAGGAGCUGGAGAUAAAGGGAGACAUAAUGACUGAUGAUCAAAAGGCAAAUACAGAUAAUGUUAACCAGCAGGAAGUUAUAGAACAGAAAGAUCCGAAAAUUGAUGAAACAAACGAAAAGAGUGACCAGAAAAAGGAUGACAACGAAACAAAGGAUAAAGACCAGAAGAUGGACUCAAAGAAAAAGUCGCCCAUUGACACCAAAGAAAAGAAGAAGUCUGAUGAGCCUCCGAAACACCCAGGAUUCAUUCUCCAGGCCAAAAAGAGCAAAGGAUAUAAACUCCGUUCAACAUCCCUUUCAUUGGAUGGCCUCCUGGACUACACCGCCAAUGAUACAGAGGAGUCUGUAUUUGAGCUUUCUUUGUUUGCCGAGUCUUUCAGCGAAAUGCUUCAGUACAGAAUGGGUUGUGUGAUCUUGUCUUUUCUUGAGAAACUUUACAGGCAGUAUGUUGUGAGGAGGAAUCAACGUAAGCGCCAAAGAGAGGAAGAUCUAAAGAAGGAAGACACAAUAUCCUUGGAGAAGCGACUAAAGACAACUGAUGAGAAUGUAACUGGAAGUACCUCAGGUAACCCAGGUAAAAAUGAUGAAACAAUAAAAGAGGGUGGAGAAAAGAUAAUUGGCGAUAAUUCAUCAGCUUCCCAUGAGCAACUGGUCAAAGAGGAUGAUGAGAAGAUGAGUACAGAUCAUGCUGCCCAGGAUGAAAUGAUGAAAGAGGGCGAGGAAAAGAUUGAUGCAGAUCAGUCAGCAGCUGCCCAUGAUGAACCUAAAGCUGAUGAGAAAAUGGAGGAAGAAGAUCCUGAAUAUGAAGAAGAUCCCGAUGAAGUAGAAUAUGAGGGCGACGAGGACAUGGAUGAUGCCACUGCUGAAGAGCCGGCAGAAGCACAGAAUGAGGAUAACUCAAAUGAAAGAGAAACCAAGCCAGAAGAGGUAACCGCAGAAGAUGAUGGAAAGAGGACAACGGAGAAUCUUAAAUUGGAAAAAACAGAAGAGGACAAGCAGUCUGUAGCAGAGAAAGGAGAUUUGAAAGAAGUUGAAGAGAAAUCUGUUGGUAAGGAGGGAAAGAUAUCUGGAUCACAGAAAGGAGAUUCAGCGAAACAUGAUGUGGUUGAUAAGGACCUGUUGCAGGCUUUUAGGUACUUCGACCAAAACAGAGUUGGUUAUAUAAAGGUGGAUGAUUUAAGGUGCAUCCUUCACAACUUGGGGAAAUUUUUAUCCAACAGGGAUGUGAAGGACAUGGUUCAAAUUGCUCUUGCCGAGAGCAAUUCUUCAAGGGAUGGUCGCAUUAUCUAUACAAAGCUUGUCAAGAAAGCUGACCUCUGAUCUGGACCUGGUUUUGGCCCUAGCAGCUCGUUGAGUUAUGGAACUUGUUUGUUGGAGAUUCUUGGCAGUGAAUCGAUGAUCAAUGCAAAGUCAGCUGAAUAGUGUACUUCUAUGUAGCUGGGAGCUAGUUUUCAUUUCUUUGAAUGAAUAUUUGUUAAUGAACUUAACAAAAAUUGAUAUCGUUUGUAUGUUGACCUACUAGAAAAUUUUCAUUAGAUUUUUUUUCCACACAGCAAACAUAAUGGCCUAAUAAUAAUAACAUUUGCUGGUGUUGUAUUUUCGAAUUUCUUGUGGCGCCACAC
RNAcentral lists this ribosomal RNA (4083 nucleotides) under Triticum aestivum (bread wheat). RNAcentral describes it as "partial small subunit ribosomal RNA". Lineage: Eukaryota; Viridiplantae; Streptophyta; Magnoliopsida; Poales; Poaceae. The record is from RNAcentral.